AUUCGCAAUGUCAAUUUACAGAUUCCCUUUGUUUUGAUCUUCCAUUUCCUCUUUUUAGAGUGCAUUCAUUCUGUUUCUGUUCUUGUUCAUCAAGUUAUAUUCUCUCCAGGAUAUGGUCUCUAUCGCUCUCCACUGUUGGGAAGGUCACCGACUCUGAAGCACAAUGUCUAGCAUCGGAUAUGAUGUAGUUUGAACUCUAUAUCACACAGAAUUGCUUUGAAGUCGGUGACCUUCCCAACAGUG
Molecule: unclassified non-coding RNA, 243 nt
Filed under: Hevea brasiliensis (rubber tree)
Lineage: Eukaryota; Viridiplantae; Streptophyta; Magnoliopsida; Malpighiales; Euphorbiaceae
Source: RNAcentral